GGGCCGCCAUUUUUCUAGCCAUAGAAAGAGAAGGGGAACGGCGCACGGGUGAGUAACACGUAUCCCACCCGCCCAUAACUCCGGAAUAGCCUUUUCAAAGAAAGAUUAAUACCGGAUGGCAUACGAAUAUCGCAUGAUAUUUUUUAUUAAAGAAUUUCGGUUAUCGAUGGGGAUGCGUUCCAUUAGUUUGUUGGCGGGGUAACGGCCCACCAAGACUACGAUGGAUAGGGGUUUCUGAGAGGAAGGUCCCCCACAUUGGAACUGAGACACGGUCCAAACUCCUACGGGAGGCAGCAGUGAGGAAUAUUGGUCAAUGGGCGAGAGCCUGAACCAGCCAAGUAGCGUGAAGGAUGAAGGCUCUAUGGGUCGUAAACUUCUUUUAUAUGGGAAUAAAGUUUUCCACGUGUGGAAUUUUUGUAUGUACCAUAUGAAUAAGGAUUCGGCUAACUCCGUGCCAGCAGCCGCGGUAAUACGGAGGAUCCGAGCGUUAUCCGGAUUUAUUGGGUUUAAAGGGAGCGUAGGUGGAUUGUUAAGUCAGUUGUGAAAGUUUGCGGCUCAACCGUAAAAUUGCAGUUGAAACUGGCAGUCUUGAGUACAGUAGAGGUGGGCGGAAUUCGUGGUGUAGCGGUGAAAUGCUUAGAUAUCACGAAGAACUCCGAUUGCGAAGGCAGCUCACUAGACUGUUACUGACACUGAUGCUCGAAAGUGUGGGUAUCAAACAGGAUUAGAUACCCUGGUAGUCCACACAGUAAACGAUGAAUACUCGCUGUUUGCGAUAUACAGUAAGCGGCCAAGCGAAAGCAUUAAGUAUUCCACCUGGGGAGUACGUUCGCAAGAAUGAAACUCAAAGGAAUUGACGGGGGCCCGCACAAGCGGAGGAACAUGUGGUUUAAUUCGAUGAUACGCGAGGAACCUUACCCGGGCUUGAAAGUUACUGACGAUUCUGGAAACAGGAUUUCCCUUCGGGGCAGGAAACUAGGUGCUGCAUGGUUGUCGUCAGCUCGUGCCGUGAGGUGUCGGGUUAAGUCCCAUAACGAGCGCAACCCCUACUGAUAGUUGCCAUCAG
Molecule: ribosomal RNA, 1066 nt
Filed under: uncultured bacterium
Lineage: Bacteria
Description: bacterial SSU rRNA
Rfam family: Bacterial small subunit ribosomal RNA
Source: RNAcentral